This 391-nucleotide unclassified non-coding RNA is filed under the name soil metagenome. RNAcentral describes it as "partial contains 5.8S ribosomal RNA, internal transcribed spacer 2, and large subunit ribosomal RNA". The stretch from base 1 to 122 matches the Rfam family "5.8S ribosomal RNA", at positions 35 to 154 of the family's 154-position model. The record is from RNAcentral.
GAUGAAGAACGCAGCGAAAUGCGAUACUUGGUGUGAAUUGCAGAAUCCCGUGAACCAUCGAGUCUUUGAACGCAAGUUGCGCCCGAAGCCAUUAGGCCGAGGGCACGCCUGCCUGGGCGUCACACGUCGUUGCCCCCCCAUCUACUCCUUCGGGAUUGCGGGGGGCGGAUGAUGGCCUCCCGUGCGCCUCGCCGCGCGGUUGGCAUAAAUGCCAAGUCCUCGGCGACGCACGCCACGACAAUCGGUGGUUGCGAAACCUCGGUUGCCCGUCGUGUGCGGUCGUCGCGCAUCGAGGGCUCGAAAAAAUUGCCGGGUUCCGGCUCGGCUUUCAACGCGACCCCAGGUCAGGCGGGGUUACCCACUGAAUUUAAGCAUAUCAAUAAGCGGAGGA